GGACUACUCGGGUUUCUAAUCCCGUUCGCUCCCCUAGCUUUCGCACCUGAGCGUCAGGUUCUUCCCAGGACGCUGCCUUCGCCUUCGGUGUUCUUCCAGAUCUCUACGCAUUUCACCGCUCCACCUGGAAUUCCGCGUCCCUCUGAAGCCCUCAAGUCUUCCCAUUUCCCCGGUCCUGCCCCAGUUAAGCCGGGACCUGUCACCCAAGAUGUAGAAGACCGCCUGCGUGCGCUUUACGCCCAAUAAAUCCGGACAACGCUUGCCCCCUACGUAUUACCGCGGCUGCUGGCAC
RNAcentral lists this ribosomal RNA (292 nucleotides) under uncultured bacterium. Its description in RNAcentral is "partial 16S ribosomal RNA". The record is from RNAcentral.